RNAcentral lists this unclassified non-coding RNA (307 nucleotides) under Hevea brasiliensis (rubber tree). Lineage: Eukaryota; Viridiplantae; Streptophyta; Magnoliopsida; Malpighiales; Euphorbiaceae. The record is from RNAcentral.
UACGUUGUUUGUAUCCAUCGAACUUCUUUGUGCCAAAAUUUAAGAUACUCGGAGAGAAGGUUGUUCCUAUCAUUAUCCCCGACGGAAUCAUGCUACAAGUGCAACAGAAAGCUUUAUGAUUUUUUGGAAAGUAGAGCAGAAAAUACAUCAGUUCAGCAAUCGGUUCAACAACUGAAGCUGAUAUAUGUACAACGUUAUUCUCCGAUAUCCAUUUUUGUUAUCAUCACUAUACCUAGUAUACAUGAGUUCUUCUCGAAUGUACAUAGUAGUUCAGGUUCUCUUCCUCAUCUUCAACCCAAUUUUGGUG